CGUUAGUUGUCGACGGUGUCGAGCCUUGUACGACGUCGAUUUCUUUCGUAUCGUGUUGCGCAAAUAUCGGCCUCCGAGGAUAUCUCUCGUAAGAUCGGAUCUCUCUUGGAGACGAUUUUCGGGAUGGUAUCCGGUGAUUGGAUUACCGGGGAGGAGGAAUUUGAACUUGGGCCAAGACGCUCGAGUUGUCGCAAACGACGAUGCGUCUUGCGGCAUUGACGAGACCGAGGGUCGCCGAUUGUUGAUCGCGUUUCGAAUUUCUUACGUUGCUCGCCGAUAGCGAUUAGACCCAGUUUAGAUUCGGCAGACCGAUUCGUGUUUCCAUCGCGUUUCUCGUUCGAUAGAUCCGUGCAAACGUUCGACCUUUAACGGAGAGACGUUGAUCGCCUCUAUCGACAUUCCUUUCUGGAUUACGAUUUUUACCAUAAUCGAGAUUUUACUUCGUUUGUCGUUGAAGAAAUUCUGCCGACCGAGUUACGUGAAUCUUAUACGUUUAUAAAGUACAUCGAGUAUCUUUCGCUCUUUAAUUUUAUUUCGCAUAUUUCAUUCUUGUUCUUUACUUUUAUCGUUAAGCCUAAUAUCGGUUCUAACGGGCGCGGCGGCGAUCAACGUGUCGUUUGUCCACGACAUAAACUUUGUUCUAGUAAAACAUCGGGAAACGAACUCGGCCGAUUUUCUAAUAACGCGAGAACUCGUUGAAAUUUUGUCACUAAUCCACUUACAAUGUCUCCACGUUUACAGUUUGUGCUGGAUUGCCUUAAUUUGACGAAAGGUGGUGUUAACAACAUGUUUACUAAUCUCACAUGUUACGUAAUCCAGCUUCUUUUAGUUCUAUAGUCGUAAAUACCGCGCGCAAAUGAUAUAUACAGUCCCCACGGCCAUGUUUCGAUCUAUUCGAUGAUAAUGGGAGUGCGCAAUACGCGAUUACCAGGUAUCACGUAGAUUCUUUCUCGACACCGCUCCCUGUGAGAUGUCAAUAGUAACUUCGCUACCAGCGAAUUCAAUUCGAUGUGUACGCAAUCGCGUGCGAUUAUUAACCGAAUUAAAAAGUACCGUUAACGUACCAAACACGUAUACGAACCGAUGUAAAGUUCCAAACAGAGUUCCGAUGUUAAACGCAACGAAUCCAGCGUUGCCCGAAAAGAAAAUUCAUCCCCCUUCCGUACGUUCACACUGUAGCGAUAAUUAACGAUAGAUCGACGUAGAGACAGUCGCGGGAAUAUACGAACGAUAGUCGUUUGUAGUCGUUGCGUUUCUUUUCGCGUACACGUUGAAUUCGUAGCGAUUAAAUUGCAAUUAGAGACGCGAAAGUUUGAGGCACUCAGGCGGCGCAGUUUCAUAACGAUACUUGCCCCUACACACCACAAACAAUACACAUUGCACACACUGUUGCUCGGAAAUGAAACAACACUAUGGCGGGGUAAAGAAACGGCUAUCUGAUUAGGCACCUCCCAACGAAUCCAAACCAGGGCCGUCUUAACUGCACCCCCUGUGCACAUCGGUCCACUGGACCCUUAAUUAAAAGCUAGAACGAAAAAAGAAAAAAAAAAAAGAAAAUGAAA
Hylaeus anthracinus is the source of this 1562-nucleotide long non-coding RNA. RefSeq lists it as uncharacterized. The record is from RefSeq and is a predicted model, not a curated record. NCBI's taxonomy places the organism in Eukaryota, Metazoa, Arthropoda, Insecta, Hymenoptera, Colletidae. The transcript has 2 exons.